This 467-nucleotide ribosomal RNA is filed under the name uncultured bacterium. RNAcentral's name for it is "partial 16S ribosomal RNA". It matches the Rfam family "Bacterial small subunit ribosomal RNA", at positions 28 to 507 of the family's 1533-position model. The record is from RNAcentral.
GACGAACGCUGGCGGCGUGCUUAACACAUGCAAGUCGAACGGAAAGGCCUCAGCUUGCUGGGGUACUCGAGUGGCGAACGGGUGAGUAACACGUGGGUGAUCUGCCUUGCACUCUGGGAUAAGCUUGGGAAACUGGGUCUAAUACCGGAUAUGAACUGCCUUUAGUGUGGUGGUUGGAAAGUUUUUUCGGUGCAAGAUGAGCUCGCGGCCUAUCAGCUUGUUGGUGGGGUAAUGGCCUACCAAGGCGUCGACGGGUAGCCGGCCUGAGAGGGUGUACGGCCACAUUGGGACUGAGAUACGGCCCAGACGCCUACGGGAGGCAGCAGUGGGGAAUAUUGCACAAUGGGCGGAAGCCUGAUGCAGCGACGCCGCGUGGGGGAUGACGGCCUUCGGGUUGUAAACUCCUUUCGACAGGGACGAAGCUUUUUGUGACGGUACCUGUAGAAGAAGCACCGGCUAACUACGUG